This 71-nucleotide transfer RNA is filed under the name Lithophaga curta. Its description in RNAcentral is "tRNA-Ser". The record is from RNAcentral. Lineage: Eukaryota; Metazoa; Mollusca; Bivalvia; Mytilida; Mytilidae.
AGGAAAGGUCAUUUGGUGGCGUUUAGAGGCUUCUAACCUUUUUAUAAAGAGGUCAAUUUCUUUUUUUCCUU